This 242-nucleotide ribosomal RNA is filed under the name uncultured Peptostreptococcus sp. RNAcentral's name for it is "partial 16S ribosomal RNA". It matches the Rfam family "Bacterial small subunit ribosomal RNA", at positions 114 to 354 of the family's 1533-position model. Lineage: Bacteria; Bacillati; Bacillota; Clostridia; Peptostreptococcales; Peptostreptococcaceae. The record is from RNAcentral.
CGCGUGGGUAACCUGCCCUAUACACAUGGAUAACAUACUGAAAAGUUUACUAAUACAUGAUAAUAUAUAUUUGCGGCAUCGUAGAUAUAUCAAAGUGUUAGCGGUAUAGGAUGGACCCGCGUCUGAUUAGCUAGUUGGUGAGAUAACUGCCCACCAAGGCGACGAUCAGUAGCCGACCUGAGAGGGUGAUCGGCCACAUUGGAACUGAGACACGGUCCAAACUCCUACGGGAGGCAGCAGGC